Molecule: ribosomal RNA, 441 nt
Filed under: uncultured bacterium
Lineage: Bacteria
Description: partial 16S ribosomal RNA
Rfam family: Bacterial small subunit ribosomal RNA
Source: RNAcentral
CCUACGGGGGGCAGCAGUGGGGAAUAUUGCACAAUGGGGGAAACCCUGAUGCAGCAAUGCCGCGUGAGGGAAGACGGAUUUCGGAAUGGAAAGCUCUGUUAGUAGGGAAGAAAAAUGACGGUAGGGAAGGAGGACGCAACGGCUAACUACGUGCCAGCAGCCGCGGUAAGACGCAGGUGGCGAGCGUUGUCCGGAAUUACUGGGUGUAAAGGGAGCGCAGGGGGGAAGCCAAGUCAGCUGUGAAAACUACGGGCUUAACUUGUAGACUGCAGUUGAAACGGGUUUUCUUGAGUGCAGUAGAGGUAGGCGGAAUUCCUAGUGUAGCGGUGAAAUGCGUAGAUAUUAGGAGGAACACCGGUGGCGAAGGCGGCAUACUGGGCUUUAACUGACGCUGAGGCUCGAAAGUGUGGGGAGCAAACAGGAUUAGAUACCCGAGUAGUC